UAUUCAUCACCAUGCAAUUUUGACAGGUUUCCACGCCCCUUUUAGGGCUUAUGUCCCACCUUCCCACCCCCCGUUUCCGUUGGCGCCGACGUGUGGCGCCGACGACCAUUUUGAAAAAGUGUGUGUGUGUGUGUGUUUGACUAGGGGAAGUGUGUUGUGUGUGUAUGUGCUUGUGUACAUGGAGAGAAAAAGGUUGAAAGAAGAGUGUAAAGGGAAAAAAGAAAGUUUGAGUAAGGUUUAGCGGAAAAAAAGGAAAUUUGAAAGAAGAGGUAAGUUAUUGAAGAAAAGAGGCCGGUUACGAAAGAAUAGAAAGAUAGAACUUUUUAAAAAAAGGAAAUAUUUGUUUUUGAAGGGCCAGUUUAAGAAAAAAGUUAAAUAAUAUUGACAACUAGGUUGAAAAAGGGAAAGGCAAAACCUGUUUGGGAGGCCCAGGGUAAAAAAAGUGAAUAAAAAGGCAUUGAAACUAUUGAAUACCAAUAUAGGUUAAGCAAAAAGCAUUACAAACAUUAAAAACUAGGUUUAAAAGGGGAAAUUUACUAAGGCAAAACCUGUUUAGUAAGCACAUGGCCAAAAACUAUAAAGGGGGUACUAAGAAAAAAGCAUUUAAAAUGAUUAAAAACUAGGUUUAAAAAGGGAAUUGACUGAGGCAAAGCCUGUUUGGUAAGCACGGGGUAAAAAAGUGAGUAAAAAAGCAUUGAAACUAUUCAAUACCAGGGUAGGUUAAGAAAAAAAGAGAGGUUAAAAAAAAGAACAGGACAAGAAAAAAAAAGAGCAAAGAGCAAAAAUAGAGAGCACAUGGUGGAAUCUGAAUGAGACAGAGAGAGAAGCAGGCAAAGUCUGUUUAGUAAGCACAGGGUAAAAAAGUGAACAGAAUCAGGGUAGGUUAAAAGAAAGAACAAGACAAGAAAAGGGAAAAGAGAGCCCCUUUUGCAAAGGGCAAAGAUAGACAGCACAUGGUUGAGUCAGAGAGAGAGAGAGAGAGAGAGAAUUCUCACCUUUUACUUCUUUCUGUAGAAUGAGGCAACUUUUCUGGUUCAGACCCUCUCAGACUUGUUAUCACCGCCUUUGGAUCGGCCCAAUCAGAGGUGGUUUUACAGCAGCGUCAUAGAAUUCAUUUUCCGGAACCAAUCCUAGAACCCAUAACCUUCAUUUAGCCCCUUAGGCAUAGGUGUUUCAAUAACAUGCAAGUCCGCAGAAACAACCCAGGCUUAAAAACACAGAAAGUUUUUCCC
This is a long non-coding RNA of Gopherus flavomarginatus (Mexican gopher tortoise), 1232 nucleotides long. RefSeq lists it as uncharacterized. The transcript has 3 exons. NCBI's taxonomy places the organism in Eukaryota, Metazoa, Chordata, Testudines, Testudinidae. The record is from RefSeq and is a predicted model, not a curated record.